Molecule: long non-coding RNA, 219 nt
Filed under: Lathyrus oleraceus (garden pea)
Lineage: Eukaryota; Viridiplantae; Streptophyta; Magnoliopsida; Fabales; Fabaceae
Description: Pisum sativum (pea) long non-coding RNA (PSAT_LNC004756)
Source: RNAcentral
UUGGAUUGAGUCUUGUUUCAUUGUGUCUCUCUAGUUUGUUCCUAGCUGAAUCCUUUCUUGUUAUUUUCCCCUGCAGAUCCUUGUGGUUCAAGUGACCAAUUACUCAAUAAACAGUAAUCGUUCAUUCUCUCCCUAGUGGAUCUUUGUGGCCUUCUACCCAGUAAUUGGUAGUUGUAAGUCCUAUUUCUGUGGUUUACUACCCAGUAACCGGUAGUUGUA